This 578-nucleotide ribosomal RNA is filed under the name uncultured bacterium. RNAcentral describes it as "bacterial SSU rRNA". It matches the Rfam family "Bacterial small subunit ribosomal RNA", at positions 338 to 916 of the family's 1533-position model. The record is from RNAcentral.
CCUACGGGAGGCAGCAGUGAGGAAUMUUAGRCAAUGGGYGAAAGCCUGAUCUAGCCAUGCCGCGUGCAGGAUGACGGCCCUAUGGGUUGUAAACUGCUUUUAUACAGGAAGAAAAAACUCUACGUGUAGAGUCUUGACGGUACUGUAAGAAUAAGGAUCGGCUAACUCCGUGCCAGCAGCCGCGGUAAUACGGAGGAUCCAAGCGUUAUCCGGAAUUAUUGGGUUUAAAGGGUCCGUAGGUGGACAAUUAAGUCAGAGGUGAAAUCCUGCAGCUCAACUGUAGAAUUGCCUUUGAAACUGGUUGUCUUGAGUCAUUAUGAAGUGGUUAGAAUGUGUAGUGUAGCGGUGAAAUGCAUAGAUAUUACACAGAAUACCAAUUGCGAAGGCAGAUCACUAAUAAUGUACUGACACUGAUGGACGAAAGCGUGGGUAGCGAACAGGAUUAGAUACCCUGGUAGUCCACGCCGUAAACGAUGGUCACUAGCUGUUCGGACUUCGGUCUGAGUGGCUAAGCGAAAGUGAUAAGUGACCCACCUGGGGAGUACGUUCGCAAGAAUGAAACUCAAAUGAAUUGACGG